GGUUCCAUGGUGUAAUGGUUAGCACUCUGGGCUCUGAAUCCAGCGCAUCCAAGUUCUCAAAUCUCGUUGGAACCU
This 75-nucleotide transfer RNA is filed under the name Perca fluviatilis (European perch). It matches the Rfam family "tRNA". From Rfam's summary of the family: Transfer RNA (tRNA) molecules are approximately 80 nucleotides in length. Their secondary structure includes four short double-helical elements and three loops (D, anti-codon, and T loops). Further hydrogen bonds mediate the characteristic L-shaped molecular structure. tRNAs have two regions of fundamental functional importance: the anti-codon, which is responsible for specific mRNA codon recognition, and the 3' end, to which the tRNAs corresponding amino acid is attached (by aminoacyl-tRNA synthetases). tRNAs cope with the degeneracy of the genetic code in two manners: having more than one tRNA (with a specific anti-codon) for a particular amino acid; and 'wobble' base-pairing, i.e. permitting non-standard base-pairing at the 3rd anti-codon position. The record is from Rfam by way of RNAcentral. Lineage: Eukaryota; Metazoa; Chordata; Actinopteri; Perciformes; Percidae.